CACCACCGCUCGUCUCCAGCCCAGCACCCCACCGACAAGCCGCCGGGCUCUGGCCAAACAUUGUUCAGGUGUCUUUUCCCCCCAUUGAAGGUACGGAGGGGAUUACCAAUCAAAAAGAAAUCUUGUGGGGGUCUUGAUCAUCCAUCUGCGUCUGAGUUAGGAAGAAUGCAAAGUUACCUUCUGAGGAGAAUCUCGGGCAUCUUGCCCAUGAAAACACAGGAGGCCCCGCUCCUGAGCCUCGGUGGGCUGGCCUCGCAUCGCCCCUGUAUCGUCACGACAGCAUGUCAGCUGCUUGACGGGCACGGUAAGUGCCUCUGUGCUUAACCAGCCACCCAGAACGGCCACCAUCCAGAUGAUGAUUGCAAACCCACCGCUCCGCAGCAUUUUCAAAAGCCCACCUGAGAGAAACAGCAUUUAUGGAAGAUUACCUGAAAUAAAUGCAGUCUGUAUAUUCUUCUAGAUACCCUACGGUCUACCCCUGAAUUAUGAAUUAAGCAGACAGUCAGUGAGCUCAUGCCUAGCUAUCUCAUAUGGGCACCCCCAUGACGUUGCUUUCACUGAAUUCCAGAUUGUCCUGAUGGCAUCAGUUGGUACUGAGGGAUGACCCAACAAACAGCCCGACGCACUUUGCCAUUGUCUUUUCCUGGAAGGACAGGUCAUUACAUCAGGCAGCAGCCUCUCUGCUUAGGAGAUCACGGAAGAAGGUUACUCUGUUCUCAGCACUACAAACGAUUGCGCUUUUCCUCAGUGACUGCUUUCUUUUUACCUCACGGGCUCCGUAAAUGUUAUAACUGGUGGUAUUUCUCUUUUCAUGCUAGUGACUAGACAGGUUAUGGUGACAUCUGCACCUCCCCCGCCCCCAACAGAUGACUAGGACAAAAAGCACAAAUUUUGCAUAGCCUCACUCACCCCUGUUCUUUUUCCUUGCCCUCAUUUGACUUUUUUUCAUUUUCCUUUCUUUUACAUUCCUGUGCUUGCACCACGUAGGAACCCGCUUCCUGUCCUCGCUGCCACGGGGAUACUCUGUUCCACACCUCCUGCCCUUCAAGAGACAUUUUAAAUUCUAACUCCUCAUUUGCAGAUUAAAUACAAUGAGGUAAUAAUCACAA
Molecule: long non-coding RNA, 1109 nt
Organism: Felis catus (domestic cat)
Lineage: Eukaryota; Metazoa; Chordata; Mammalia; Carnivora; Felidae
Exons: 3
Source: RefSeq, a predicted model, not a curated record